GAAUCUGGCUUCAGGUCUGGGACAACCACUGGAAACGGUGGCUAAUACCGGAUGUGCCCUGCGGGGUGAAAGGUUAACUGCCUGAAGAUGAGCUCGCGUCUGAUUAGCUAGUAGGUGUGGUAAGAGCGCACCUAGGCGACGAUCAGUAGCUGGUCUGAGAGGACGAUCAGCCACACUGGGACUGAGACACGGCCCAGACUCCUACGGGAGGCAGCAGUGGGGAAUUUUCCGCAAUGGGCGAAAGCCUGACGGAGCAAUACCGCGUGAGGGAGGAAGGCUCUUGGGUCGUAAACCUCUUUUCUCAGGGAAGAACACAAUGACGGUACCUGAGGAAUAAGCAUCGGCUAACUCCGUGCCAGCAGCCGCGGUAAUACGGAGGAUGCAAGCGUUAUCCGGAAUGAUUGGGCGUAAAGCGUCCGCAGGUGGCUGUGUAAGUCUGCUGUUAAAGAGUCUAGCUCAACUAGAUACAAGCAGUGGAAACUACACGGCUAGAGUACGUUCGGGGCAGAGGGAAUUCCUGGUGUAGCGGUGAAAUGCGUAGAGAUCAGGAAGAACACCAGUGGCGAAGGCGCUCUGCUAGGCCGUAACUGACACUGAGGGACGAAAGCUAGGGGAGCG
RNAcentral lists this ribosomal RNA (618 nucleotides) under uncultured cyanobacterium. RNAcentral's name for it is "bacterial SSU rRNA". It matches the Rfam family "Bacterial small subunit ribosomal RNA", at positions 122 to 770 of the family's 1533-position model. Lineage: Bacteria; Bacillati; Cyanobacteriota. The record is from RNAcentral.